CAGCCGCCACGGUAAUACGUAGGGUGCGAGCGUUAAUCGGAAUUACUGGGCGUAAAGCGUGCGCAGGCGGUUGUGUAAGACAGGUGUGAAAUCCCCGGGCUUAACCUGGGAACUGCGCUUGUGACUGCACAGCUAGAGUAUGGCAGAGGGGGGUGGAAUUCCGCGUGUAGCAGUGAAAUGCGUAGAUAUGCGGAGGAACACCGAUGGCGAAGGCAGCCCCCUGGGCCAACACUGACGCUCAUGCACGAAAGCGUGGGGAGCAAACAGGAUUAGAUACCCCCGUAGUCCCUGUCUCUUAUAA
RNAcentral lists this ribosomal RNA (301 nucleotides) under uncultured bacterium. RNAcentral's name for it is "partial 16S ribosomal RNA". It matches the Rfam family "Bacterial small subunit ribosomal RNA", at positions 509 to 809 of the family's 1533-position model. The record is from RNAcentral.